GAUGAAUGCUGGCGGCGUGCCUAACACAUGCAAGUCGAGCGGCAGCGCGAGUAGUUUACUACUUGGCGGCGAGCGGCGGACGGCUGAGUAACGCGUGGGAACAUGCCCCAAAGUGAGGAAUAAGCUCCAGAAAUGGAGUCUAAUGCCGCAUAUGAUCUUCGGAUUAAAGGAUUUAUCCGCUUUGGGAGUGGCCUGCGUAC
RNAcentral lists this ribosomal RNA (200 nucleotides) under uncultured bacterium. RNAcentral's name for it is "partial 16S ribosomal RNA". It matches the Rfam family "Bacterial small subunit ribosomal RNA", at positions 28 to 238 of the family's 1533-position model. The record is from RNAcentral.